Molecule: long non-coding RNA, 238 nt
Filed under: Bos taurus (domestic cattle)
Lineage: Eukaryota; Metazoa; Chordata; Mammalia; Artiodactyla; Bovidae
Description: long non-coding RNA NONBTAT016754
Source: RNAcentral
UCCUAAUUAGGGGUUAACAAAUGACAUACAGGAAGGGUGAUUUUCCAGUACCAAACCGAGGGAAUAAAAAACAGUGGGUUGGCUGUUACUUUGUUGAUGAGUCUAACAUUCAUGGGUACAUGAAGGUUAAGAAUGUUCUGUAACCUAUGUUGUAGGGGUUCUAACCUCAUUUUUAAGUUUGCCUUUGAAUGUCUUAAACAUAUUCGAGUCCAGUACUUUGUGCAUUAAGAAAUUUUUG